GGGAACUACGAGCACGAGCUUAAAACCCAAAGGACUUGGCGGUGCUUUAGACCCCCCUAGAGGAGCCUGUUCUAGAACCGAUACCCCCCGUUCAACCUCACCUUUUCUUGCUAAUACCGCCUAUAUACCACCGUCGUCAGCUUACCCUGUGAAGGGAUCAUAGUAGGCAAAACUGGUAAAAACCCAAAACGUCAGGUCGAGGUGUAGCAUACGAAAAGGAAAGAAAUGGGCUACAUUUCCUACUCCAGGAAAAACGAAUUGUGAAAUGAAACAACACAUGAAGGUGGAUUUAGCAGUAAGCAGAAAACAGAGUGUUCCGCUGAAACUGGCCCUGAAGCGCGCACACACCGCCCGUCAUUCUCCCCGAGUCCUAAGACCCUUAAUAUUUAAUAUCCUUUCAACACAAAGGGGAGGCAAGUCGUAACAUGGUAAGUGUACCGGAAAGUGCACUUGGAGAAAC
This 460-nucleotide ribosomal RNA is filed under the name Heterophallus milleri. Its description in RNAcentral is "partial 12S ribosomal RNA". It matches the Rfam family "Bacterial small subunit ribosomal RNA", at positions 875 to 1527 of the family's 1533-position model. The record is from RNAcentral. Lineage: Eukaryota; Metazoa; Chordata; Actinopteri; Cyprinodontiformes; Poeciliidae.